CGACUUCGACGGCGACGGCGCGGACGGCGAGGCCGUGGGCGGCGGAGAAGGCGAAGCAGGUGGAGGCGGAGAAAGUGGGGAUGGAGGCGGUGGAGGGGAGGGAGAUUUUGGGAGAGUAUGGGGCGGAGAAGAGGAAGCAGAGGUCGCCGGAGCGGAGGAGGUAGGAGGCGUGAGAGUGGUUUCCGGUGGAGAGGUCUGAUUUUGCGACGAGCGGCAUGCCGAGGCCCCAGGAGAAGCGGCGUGCGGCGUUGGUGGCGUCGGAGCACCAGAACUCGAUGUGGUGGAACCUUUUCACGGCGAACCGGUCUGAUUUUGGGUUGGACCGGACGAAGCGGUUGAACCCGAGGAGUUUGAACCCGGUUUGGACUUCUUCAGUAGUUGUUGUUUGUUUACCCAUGGUGGAGUGAGUGUUGGGUUUCGGAUGGUGGGGUGGUGGUGGUGUUAUGUAGGAGAAGUGGCGGCGGAGUGACAC
RNAcentral lists this long non-coding RNA (472 nucleotides) under Lotus japonicus. RNAcentral's name for it is "long non-coding RNA (LJAP_LNC000299)". The record is from RNAcentral. Lineage: Eukaryota; Viridiplantae; Streptophyta; Magnoliopsida; Fabales; Fabaceae.